UCUGUAGAGCGCUGGCGGCUUCCAAUGCCUGUUCCUCUGCGGGGGUGGAGUGGACCAAUUCAGCCGGACAGGGGGGGGGGGCGAGUUCUGGCCUAGAUCGGUUGCCUGGGAAACCAGACGGCGCCGCCGACAUCAGCUCCCCUUGUCUUCGGGUGGGAUUGAGGCGAGGCCGCGGAGACUGGAGCCGGGAUUUGCCUGGGGGUAUGUGAGAACGGCCGAUACGAUGACCACCGUACGCCACAGGAAGAGGAUUAACGCCUCCGAGCCGAAUGCCAACAACUCGCAGGGGCAGAAAAGUUCAAGGGAGAACGCUAAAGGGAUUUCCGGAGGCGGGACAUGGAAUAUUCUGAGUUAUCUCAUUGGUGGGAUGCUGGCUUUGUUCCUGGGACUACUUGCCGCAUAUUACGUCGCCACCCUCCAUGAGAAUGACCUGUGGUUCUCCAAUAUUAAGGAUGUGGAGAGAGAAAUCUCAUUCAGGACGGAGUGCGGAUUGUAUUAUUCUUACUAUAAGCAAGUCCUCUACGCCCCGACCCUCGCUCAAGGAAUCACUGAUUUAAUCUAUGACAACAGAACAGAGGCCAUGAGGACCAUCAAUAUUCUGGAGAGGAUGAAUGUGUACCAGGAGCUUUUCCUGGCCGUCAUCUACAGGACCUUCAAUCUUUGGAGCCUGCUGGAUUCCGUCUAUUUCUACAUCUAUACGCUGUUCGGGCUGCAGGCGCUGUACGUGGCGGCUCUGUAUAUUAACAGCUGGCUGCUCAGCGGGACUUGGCUUUCUGGAUCAUUAGCGGCUCUAUGGUACAUUGUUAACAGAAUUGACACAACGCGGGUAGAAUUCACCAUUCCUCUGAGAGAGAACUGGGCUCUGCCUUUCUUUGCUGUUCAGAUUGCCACCAUCACCUAUUUCUUUAGACCGGACCUGACCAGAGUGAAGGAGAGACUCUCCCUUCUCGUCGUGUUCAUUUCCACAUUCCUCUUCAGUCUCACCUGGCAGUUCAACCAGUUUGUGUUACUCCUGCAAAGUCUGGUGCUGUUUGCCCUGGACUGCCUGGACUUGGUUCCAAGCCGCAAGGUGAGAAGCCUGUACAUGAUUCAGGCCUCCAGUCUUCUCCUGGUGUGUCUCCUGCAGUUCAUCAAUACCAUGAUUCUGGGCUCCCUGCUUCUCAGCUUCAUCCUGGCCGCCAUUAUCGCCCAGAGAUUGCAGAAAAACCUUCGAAGUGGCAGUCUGCUGAGGAGACUCUGGAACAUCGGCAUCCAUGUAGUGAUCGUUCUGCUCCUUGCUACAAUCAUUAAUAAGUGUGUUAAGAAAAUCCUGAAUCUGCAGUCAGACGAACACAUUUUUAAGUUCAUAGAAGCAAAACUGGGUUUUAAAACCAGAGAUUUCGAUGCCAAUCUCUAUCUGUGCGAGGAGCCCUUCCAGAUGCUGCCAUCGGACACGUUUGAGAGACUCGCCGACUCGUUACUUCUCCACCCCUUUCUAUUUGUUCUUUCCUUCCUGAUCGUUGCAGCGUCGAUCGUCACGUUCCGCAGAUUGAGCAUCUCCUCCGGCAACAAACAGAAGCAAUGGAGUGAAGAUCGAUCGUCCCUCGUCCGAGCCGACGUCGCCUAUAAUUUAGUACAUAACGUGAUGUUCGGUUGCCUGGCUAUCAGCACAAUGCGAAUGAAGUAUCUCUGGACAUCCCACAUGUGUGUCUUGGCUUCUUUCGGAGUCGCCAGUAAGGACAUUUGGGGAAUUUUGCUGCGAUUGGUCCGGUUCUACACACCCCAGAGGGCCAAUGGGAUUCGAUAUUUGGUGUCAUUGAUUCUGCUCGUUUCCGUCGUCCUAAAGUUCUGGCCAAGAAUUCUCCAGGAGCUUUCGGAACUGCGGGAGUUUUAUGAUCCUGACACUGUGCAGUUAAUGAGCUGGAUCAAGUCAAACACCCCGAAAAAUGCUGUAUUUGCAGGCAGUAUGCAGCUCCUGGCGGGGGUGAAGCUUUGCACUGGGAGAGUUCUGACCAAUCACCCGCAUUAUGAGGACAAGACCCUCAGGGACAGGACCAAACAGGUGUAUCAGGUGUAUGCGAAGAGAGCCCCGGAAGAUGUACACGGCGUACUGAGGUCGUUCGGCACGGACUACGUCAUAUUAGAGGACAGUAUAUGUUAUGAGAGGAGACACGGGAGAGGAUGUCGUCUACGAGAUCUGCUGGAUAUCAACAAUGACCAUACAAUGGAUGGUCCCGGGGACAACGACCCCGAUUUGAGGCCUUCUCCCUUCCCCCGCUUCUGCGAUGAAAUAAAGAAAGAUUCUCCGGCCUACACAAAGUAUUUCACAAGGGUCUUCAAGAACAGAACUUUCAAUGUUUACAGAUUGUUACGUAAAGCCACCGCGAAGUAAGCGAAAUCUGGCGGACGGGACAGAAUUUUGUUGUUCUAGUGUCUCUUCUUAUUGGUCAACGCCGACUGCCCCCCGCGGAGUGGAAGGGGGGCUCUUCUUGCCUCCAGACGGGUUCAUUUCAACUUGGCCACAACGGUUGUUUUUCAGUUGUGACUUUCUAGUAGUGUUUUAAUGGAAGGUAAGGUACAUUUUAGGUGAAUGGAGGACUAAGUUUGACACGUGAACUGUCCAGUCACUUUUUGUUUUGUUACAAUUAUCCUUGUUUUACAAAGACUUGUGUCACGUGACGGCAAAACAGCAUUUCCCAUAAUGCUUCACUAGCUUCGGAGAUCAUGUUCUUCAGGAGUAACAACAGCAAGGUUCAGUAACCCCCGGGCUGUUGGUUUUCAGCUUCUGAAUGUUGGUUUGCCUGAUCUUGGGGUGGAAGUUUUGGCUGAAGAAAUUUUGGCCUAGGUAAUUUUUACCAUGUGCGUAAAUUCUGGCCUAGGUCAUUUUUACUGUGUGCGAAAAUUUUGGCCUAGGUCAUUUUUACUGUGUGUGUAAAUUUUGGCCUAGGUCAUUUUUACUGUGUGCGUAAAUUUUGGCCUAGGUCAUUUUUACUGUGUGCGUAAAUUUUGGCCUAGGUCAUUUUUACUGUGUGCGUAAAUUUUGGCCCAGGUCAUUUUUACUGUGUGCAAGAAAUUUUGGUCUAGGUCAUUUUUACUGUGUGCAUUUUUACUGUGUUAUUCUUUUCACAUGCAAAUUAGGCUAAAAAUAAGUUUAUCAAUUCCCAAAAGAGUACUAGUCACUUGCUGUCCCUUAACCUAGAUCUAACCCCAUAAACCUAACCCCAUAACUAUAGAGGAGGACCUGUGCUAUGGAAGGACUAGUCACAAGUAUUGUCUGUGGUCUCAUUGCUGCUGAUCUUUUCCCAAUUACUGGCUUAAAGUGGAACUAAACCUUCCCAUCGUUUUCAGCUGCCAUCUUGGCCUCUUGGCUGAUCUUCAACCUUGCACUGCAGCUCCUCAGGUACAACUUCCUCUCCAGCAAGGAGAACCGCGAGCAGCACAGCAGUGACAUCAUCAAACCUGGCGAGACUAGAGGUCAGAGGCAGCCUUGCCUUAGAUGAUCUCGCACUGCAGAGGAUGUAGGCACAGGAAGUGCAUUGCUAUUUUUUUUUUAGUAGGAAUUUAGAACAAAAAAUAGAUUUUUCAGGGUAUUGCUUCAAGCACAAUUCACAUUUCUGUAUGUUCCCUAUUGCAUAGCAAACCUUCACUCUUUGAGUUUAGAGCCGCUUUACCCCAACAUGAAAUGUAUUGUGUCACGUGUUUCUUUUUCAUGCUGGAAAUGUCUGUUUUGCUAAUGUGCCGACUACAAAAAAUCUGUGCCAAAAUCAGGCAACCUUCAGAAAUCCAUAGAAACUCGUCUCUCUGUCCCGACUCCAGACUGACGGAAGUUGAGGGGAUUUCGGUUGCUAUGGGUUCCUGCACUUUGAUGCUCUGAUCGUGUUUAAGCACUUGAAGUUUUGGAAUACGACAUUUUGUGCCAAAUAUUUUUAAAUUUCCGUGUCACUGUGCACCGUGAAUGGUGAAGUAUUAUUCUAAAUUCUAUUUCGAUGAAGAUUCGUUUCUCAUAGAACUGAAAAUGUCUCCACCUUUGUCACUGGAGAAGGUGCAUUGUCUCUUAGAAGAGGUAUACAUGGGCUUCAAGAGGGGGCGCUAUCAAGCGAACCGGGGGCAAACAGCUCCUUGAAGCAUAUACCGUAUUUUUCGGACCAUAAGACGCACCUAGGUUUUAGAGGAGAAAAAUGGGAAAAAAAAAAGAUUCUGACCCAAAUAUGUACUGAAAAUAUUUAAGAAUAUUAACAGAAUUCAGUUAAAUUUCAGUAUUCUGUAAAUUUAUGACACUGGCGUAUACCGUAUGCUGUACAGAUGCUGUUUACAAAUGCUGUGAGGGAGCGACCAAUGAGGUGACUCUAUAUUGGUCAGCUGACUCAGGAGAGCGUCAGUGCAUAGAGCAAUACGACGUGACGUUGUGUGGGCGUAUCUCCGCGCAAAGCUUCCUGGGACUUCUUCGUAGGCCGUCCACUCUCCGUACCUCCAUGCUGCCUGCUCUCCGUACCUCCAUGCCGCCCGCUCUCCGUACCUCCAUGCCGCCCGCUCUCCGUACCUCCAUGCUGCCUGCUCUCCGUACCUCCAUGCCGCCUGCUCUCCGUGCCUCCAUGCCGCCCGCUCUCCGUGCCUCUCGCUAUUCUGCCAUGUCGCCGUGCAGCACGCUAUUCCGCCAUGUCGCUGUGCCGCCCUGCCGCUAAUUCCGCCAUGGACCAGCCUGAGCCUGAUGGCGCCCGCUGAUUAACCCGCUGAUGGUGCCCCGGCUGCCUGCCUGUGCAUUCAGUAUUCGGACUAUAAGACGCAGGGGCAUUUUCCCCCAUACAUUUGGGGGGGGGGGGGGAGUGCGUCUUAUGGUCCGAAAAAUACGGUACUUCAUUGUGCCAUAGUCUAAUAAUAAAAUGGUCUGCAGGGAUCAGGCCACCCCAGGCUUGGCAGGCCGGGUGACUAAACAGUGCCCCCCCCCUGAAACUUUCCCUACCGGGAUUGCACUGGCAGCACUGAGCGCCUUGUAUAUCAAAGCGAGUUUUCACAUUGAUGUCAAUGGAAACGAAAAUAAUUAGUUCCGCAUUGACUUCAAUGGCAUGCAGUACCGCAUGCAGCCAGAGGUGGGGAGCACCGGAGAGCCUCGGGAACACACGGAAAGGUCUGAGGACAGCUCAAAUGACCUCGGAAAGGCUUAGUAACGGCGUAUUUCCGAACAGCGCCGAUCGGCGUCGUUUGGCUCCCUUUAACCCCUCCUGCUCUCCAUCAUGUUUUUUUGCUAGUGUCCUAAUGAGUGAGGACAUCUCACUCUGAGAGCAGCAAACCGAUUUUUUUUUUUUUUCUUGCAUUUUAGCGAGGGUCAGAUUUUGGCCAUGUAAUUGGCACCAGAGGAAGUGGUGUCGCCCUGCUGGCAUGGUUUGUGUAAAUCACAAACAUUGCCCAACACAAUCUCACAUUUCACAUAUCUAUAUAUCGGGCUGUUUGGAUAGAGUUCAAACUUGUCAAGAUGGCCAUUUACCUGCCACAUAAAUUUGGUGUCUGUCAUUGCUGACUCCUGGGAGAGGUGCCAGUUGCAGAGCAUUUCUCUGCAGUAUCACGUCACGUGACACCCUAUCUUUAGAACUGGCACUUCUUCUGGGGGUCAAGCAGUGGCAGCCACCACUCCGGGUGACAGUCUUGGUUGUGCCAGGCAACAGCCAUUCUGACAGGUUCACUUUGAUAUAAUACCAUGCAUUCGUUCUCCGUGAAAAGUCACAGCGAGCCACUAAGAACAAUUGUCUACAGGGGGGGAAAAAAUGAUAUCAAAUCGGAUGUCUUGAUUUCUAGC
Rana temporaria (common frog) is the source of this 5770-nucleotide RNA transcript. It is a transcript of the gene named dpy-19 like C-mannosyltransferase 3, with no coding region annotated. Lineage: Eukaryota; Metazoa; Chordata; Amphibia; Anura; Ranidae. The record is from RefSeq and is a predicted model, not a curated record. The transcript has 20 exons.